This 1586-nucleotide long non-coding RNA is filed under the name Octopus vulgaris (common octopus). The record is from RNAcentral. Lineage: Eukaryota; Metazoa; Mollusca; Cephalopoda; Octopoda; Octopodidae.
GUCAAUAUGUUAACUGGAAUCAACGCAUCUUUACAAAUGUUAAUCCUGUGUGAAUUGAAAUUAACACAAUUUUAACCAAGGAGGAAUUUAAACAAAGAAAUUUUAACCAGUGAAGAAAAUUAGUUCAAUAUAUUUUAAGCAAGGACUUACACAUUUCAACCAAUGGUAAUUCUAACUCAAAUAGUGUUAACCAGAACCAGUUGUAAACUUAGGUCAACGAAUUUCAUAUAUUUGGUACAAAUAUAUUGUGCGUGGUCAUUAAAACAGGUCAAUGAAAGCCAACGUUGGUACACUUGGGUUAACUGAAAAUAUGGGUCAACGAAUUUUAACCUGGGGCAGCACAUUUUAAUCCAGUGGUAAAAAUCGUAUGAGCAUAUUCUGUAGUUACCAAUGUGUAAUUGAGUUUUUACCGGUAAUAAACUUGCAUGAAUGAGUUUUUUUAAAAAAAAAGGGUUUAAAGUUUAUUCACAAAAUGUUAAAGUUAAGAUACAACCAGAAGUGAACUUGGGCCAACGUAAUUUAACCAGGGGUAAAUUGAGGUCAACAUUUUUCAGCAGUGGUAAAUUUAAGCCUGUGUGAAUUGAGGCCAAUAUAUUUUAACCGUCUGUGAAGUCUGUUCAAUGCACAUUUUAACCAGUGGUCAGUUUAGGACAAUACAUAUUUUAACCAGGGGUUAACUUGGGCUAAAAAGUGGGUUUAAAGUUUAUUCACAAAAUGUUAAAGUUAAGAUACAACCAGAAGUGAACUUGGGCCAACGUAAUUUAACCAGGGGUAAAUUGAGGUCAACAUUUUUCAGCAGUGGUAAAUUUAAGCCUGUGUGAAUUGAGGCCAAUAUAUUUUAACCGUCUGUGAAGUCUGUUCAAUGCACAUUUUAACCAGUGGUCAGUUUAGGACAAUACAUAUUUUAACCAGGGGUUAACUUGGGCUAACACAUUUUAAAAAAAAAGUGGGUUUAAAGUUUAUUCACAAAAUGUUAAAGUUAAGAUACAACCAGAAGUGAACUUGGGCCAACGUAAUUUAACCAGGGGUAAAUUGAGGUCAACAUUUUUCAGCAGUGGUAAAUUUAAGCCUGUGUGAAUUGAGGCCAAUAUAUUUUAACCGUCUGUGAAGUCUGUUCAAUGCACGUUUUAACCAGUGGUCAGUUUAGGACAAUACAUAUUUUAACCAGGGGUUAACUUGGGAUAACACAUUUUUAAAAAAAAGUGGGUUUAAAGUUUAUUCACAAAAUGUUAAAGUUAAGAUACAACCAGAAGUGAACUUGGGCCAACGUAAUUUAACCAGGGGUUAAUUUAGGUCAACAUUUUUCAGUAGUGGUAAAUUUAAGCCUGUGUGAAUUGAGGCCAAUAUAUUUUAACCGUCUGUGAAGUCUGUUCAAUGCACAUUUUAACCAGUGGUCAGUUUAGGACAAUACAUAUUUUAACCAGGGUUAACUUGGGCUAACACAUUUUUAAAAAAAGUGGGUUUAAAGUUUAUUCACAAAAUGUUAAAGUUAAGAUACAACCAGAAGUGAACUUGGGCCAACGUAAUUUAACCAGGGGUAAAUUGAGGUCAACAUUUUUCAGCAGUGGUAAAUUUAAGCCUGUGUG